UAGGAAUAUACCUUAAAGAGGGGGAUAACUUGGGGAAACUCAAGCUAAUACCGCAUAAUAUCUGAGGAUAAAAGCUAGGGACCUUCGGGCCUGGCACUUUAAGAAUAGCCUGCGUCCGAUUAGCUAGUUGGUAGGGUAAAGGCCUACCAAGGCGACGAUCGGUAGCUGGUCUGAGAGGAUGAACAGCCACACUGGGACUGAGACACGGCCCAGACUCCUACGGGAGGCAG
This 230-nucleotide ribosomal RNA is filed under the name uncultured bacterium. RNAcentral's name for it is "partial 16S ribosomal RNA". It matches the Rfam family "Bacterial small subunit ribosomal RNA", at positions 118 to 351 of the family's 1533-position model. The record is from RNAcentral.